Molecule: long non-coding RNA, 3903 nt
Organism: Cavia porcellus (domestic guinea pig)
Lineage: Eukaryota; Metazoa; Chordata; Mammalia; Rodentia; Caviidae
Exons: 5
Source: RefSeq, a predicted model, not a curated record
GAGAGUUCAAACCCAGCCUGAACAACCUAGCAACUUAACAAGACCCUGUCUCAAAAGGACUGGGGAUAUAGCUCAGGGCAAAGGCCUUGAGUCCAACCCCCAACACCACAAACAAAAUAAAACAGAAAACAUUAAAUCAAUUUGGGGUAGCUACACAUGUCCAUUCCCAGUUACAGUGAGGCCGAGAGAAUACCAGGAGAACACGCCAGUGAACCCCUUGGUUACCCACUGCCCUCACUGGAGGGAAGCAACCUGACUCCUGCUAGUCAGUAACGCCUGCCAACACAGCUCUGCUGUCCACAUGCUGGUUCUGUGUUCAAGGAGUCCUAUGCGUAAGUGUCCUGGUGGUAGCUUUAACGGGAUGCAGCUUUAACCUGGUGAUGUGGCGAACCCUCUUUUGGGACCAGAACUGCACAGCAAGCAGUACAGAAUCGCCCAGUGUGUCCUUUAGAGUGGUGAUUAGCAAAGUGACUUCUGUGUCUCCCUUUUUUACAGACUCGUGCAUCUUUCCUCCUGGGGACACAGCGCCACCCAUAUACACUGAAGGAUGACACCUCAUCUUCUCAUGGUGCUGCCUCUGAGCUGAUAUCUCAGCUACUCCCUUAGAAGGACACUCCAGAGCUCCAUGAGGCAUCUGUCCCAGGGCAGUGCAGAAUGUGACACGAUUAGUGAAUCCCAUGUCACGGUGACAAACUGUGGUCCUUCCUUUCUUGGACGCCAUGCUGGGGCUGUGGGUCGGGCAUUCUGUAAGCCCUCAGAUAGUGGUGCUGGCAGAGGGGCUAUGGUCAGGUACAGCAAAUCCAUCCCCAGGACAAGUGUAGACCCCCAUGAGGACAAGCCAUGGCCCUCAGUGAUAUAUCAGUAACAGUUCUGUCACUGACAGAGGUGUCUGUGGCUAGCCUGGCCUCAGCAAGUCAAAGUCCACUCUAGGACCCAAGUGCAGCCUCCACCUGUGCCAGCCUCCCAUGCUGUUCAUGUGCCUGUUGCUGCAUUUCCAGCAUGGACAGCGACAGUGACCAUCGCUGACCCAGUCAUCUCACGUGUCCCUCACCCCUCACUGGUCAGUAUGUCCUGGGGACAGAAAGGUGUGUAACAAAAGCCCUGACACUUAGUGCACACUUACACAUGCACAGGCCACCACCCCAAAGUCCCUGAGCCAGUGCCCAGGACUUGCAUAAAUUCUCACCUCGGGCCACUUUCCUUCCAUUGUACAGCGGCCAACAGGGCACUCUGUUCAUUGAAACUUCCCGCCCUCACUGUCUUCACAGAGCACUCUGAAGUGGCUGCCAUUCAUUUCUGCUUUGCUCCCACGUAGCAAACUAACCCAUUCAAAAAUUGAAGUUGUGAUUUUUCAUAAGCUCUGCAUUGCGUUGCUUCCCAGCACUGACACCCGAAGUGCCAGAGGCGGCUAGAAUUUACAGCCCACGGAGCAGAGCAAUUGCACCAGGACAUGGGCUUGCAGAAGCACCCUGCCCCUCUGGGACUUGCUCAAAACUAGCUAUACUCAGUGUUCCCCAGCCUUGAACCACAGCCAUCCUCUUUGGUGUGCCAAGCCCAAAGAGGCUGCCAGGGCUGGGCUCCCUUCACUGGGCAGAGGAUGCAGGAUACACAGCGUGUUCUUUGCUUUGGUGGCCCCUGACCACUGGAGCCCUGAGAACCUCACUGGAGAGCAAGGGACUUUCUCCCCACCCCCACCCCCUGGGGUGCACAUGUCUCAGACAGGCUUCCAGCAUUCUGGCCCCUCUUCUAGUCCUGACCAGGCUUCAGGGUGGCAUCAACCUAAUGACACAAUACAGAGCUUUAGGGACUGUUUUAUGAUGGAGGCCAGAGACAAAACCAUGAAUGACUCUUGCUGUCCACCCCCACAGGAAUGCAAACUGCUUCUGGCCCUCUUUUUUAGUUAGGAUGGAGAACACACUUACCGAGUAAACAGCCGAACACCAUGCACCCUGAAGCUCCAGAACCAAGACAUCAUGCUCAAUUGAGGAGUGGAAAUCAAGGCAUGGCCUCAUCUGUGGUUGUCUCUGUUCAUCCUCCAGUGCCUGGUCAGCUUUGGCAGGGCCCAGGCGGACAAACUAAGUGGACCAUCGCUGCGACAUCUUGUGAUGCAAGUUCUUAUCAGCCCCCAAAAGGACGAGAUACUGCUGUGCUGUUUUGUUUUUACUUUCUACUCCUGGGAGGGAGGGGAUCAGUUUUUCAGUCUGUGUUCUGUUGCUAUAAUUAAAUCCUACAGAAUAGGUAAUUUAUAAAGAAGAGAAGGUUAGCUGGGGAUGUAGCUCAGUGACAUGCCUUUCUGCCUUCACAAAUGCAAGUUCAUGAGUUCAAUCCCUGGUACCAAAAAAUUUUUUAAAAUAGAAGGUUAAUAGCUCAUAGUUAAGUGUGUGCUUAGCAUGCACAAGGCCCUGGGUCCUAUGCCCUGUACCAAAACAACCCCAAAACAAAAGGGAAAUAAAAGAGAAGGGAGGGAAAGGAGGGGAAAGGGAAGAGAAAAGUUUUCUGUCCCAUGGUUCUGGGAGCUGGGAAGCCCAGGGGCAGAGAGCAGCCAGGGCCCUUGGUGUUGCCUCAUAACGUGGCACAGGGUUGUUAUGGUUUUUAUCUGGUUGUCCACCCAAAACCUCAUUCACUCAUAAGUGGAGACUGGGGAGGUGGCUGGAUACUUCCCAGUGGGUUGGUCUACCUGUGGGUUGUGGCCACACGUGGUCUUGGGAAGUGAGGUGUGGUCAGGAAGCUGUGUCGCUAGGGGCCGGCCCUGAAAGGUCUGUCUCCUCCUCCUCCCUUCUCUCUCACUGCCUCCUGCCGCCAUGCCAUGGACUGCUCUUCCUCUGCCAUGCACCCUGCCUUGGAGUCAGCCGAUUACAGACGGAAACUGCUACAAACUCCUGGAAUAAGAAUGUGAUGCCUGGAGAUAUGGCAGCCAUCUUCUGAUAAUGAGGACAAAAGCAAAUGAAGGAGCAAGAAGGGGCUUCGGUCUUAGACAAUGCCUUGGGCUGCCUGCCUUCAAACUGGUCUGCACAAAGAGAAGAAAUCAGAAACUGACGCGGAGUAGAGCAGAGAUGAAAGGCAGAGGAAGUCCCCCACCUGUGGCUGGCUCCCUCCUGCCCUCACCCUGUCCUCAAGCAUCGCUAGGUCUCUGGACCCCAUCAGGAGCCACCUGCCCAAGUGACCACGCGUGGAGGAUCCUUGGCCCGCGCUUCCCUGCGCGGUCAGAACAGUCACGCGUUAGCUGAGGGUUGUCGCCACGGCCUCGCAAUCACCGCGUCUGAUGACUUGACAGUGCCACGGCUCCCAACAGGAGAGGACGUUUUAAAUGAGUUACAUGCACCCACAGGACUCCUAUGCAAUUCAACAGGAAUUCACAAAAUUGCAGUGUGAGAGGAAAGAUAACAUCUGCAAAUGUUGUCCCCGCCCACGCGCUGGCCAUGAAAGGACAUCGCUCAGCUGCCAGCUUCCGGGCCUGGCGUCACUCUCUUUUGCCUUUUCCACCGUGACAGUGAAUUCCUGGAAACCAGGGACGGAGAAGCCCCGGUGGCCCCGGGGGCCCGCGCCGGGAACUUGGCCGCCCAACCCAGCCCCAUCCCGGGCCCGAAGUGGCCGGCGGUCAUUGUAGAAAAUGUCAUCUCCGCGCCUCCCGGAGUCGCGCCCUGCGAUCCGCGCGGACGGGAACCACGCGCGCUUGCGCCCCGGUGACCUCGCGUGGCCUCUCCUGCGCGCGUUCCCCUGAACGCCCCCUGCACGCGCUUCCGCGCCGGCGCGGGUCUGCAAGGCAGUGAGCGAGACCUUCCGUUUCCAGGCCGUCUGCCAGCUUCCGGGCCAGGAAGGCCGGGCUGACGCUGCGCGCGAGGAGUUCUCCGGCUGCGCUCCAGGUGCCUGUGAAAAACACAUUAAAAUAGAGUUAAAAUAGUA